AGGUGAACCUGCGGAAGGAUCAUUACCAAUAUAGCGAACCGAGCGUUAGCGAGGCUUCGCGAUCAAAUUGUAUUUAAAACCCAACUCUUUAAAUGUAUAUUAUUAUUGUAUUUUAAAUAAUAAAAGAUCACUUUCAACAACGGAUCUCUUGGCUCUCG
This 158-nucleotide unclassified non-coding RNA is filed under the name uncultured fungus. RNAcentral describes it as "partial contains 18S rRNA, ITS1 and 5.8S rRNA". Lineage: Eukaryota; Fungi. The record is from RNAcentral.